RNAcentral lists this transfer RNA (74 nucleotides) under Affinundibacterium amnicola. Its description in RNAcentral is "tRNA-Gly". It matches the Rfam family "tRNA". From Rfam's summary of the family: Transfer RNA (tRNA) molecules are approximately 80 nucleotides in length. The record is from RNAcentral. Lineage: Bacteria; Pseudomonadati; Pseudomonadota; Betaproteobacteria; Burkholderiales; Oxalobacteraceae.
GCGGGUAUAACUCAACGGUAGAGCUGAAGCUUUCCAAGCUUAUGACAAGGGUUCGACUCCCUUUACCCGCUCCA